This 440-nucleotide ribosomal RNA is filed under the name uncultured bacterium. Its description in RNAcentral is "partial 16S ribosomal RNA". It matches the Rfam family "Bacterial small subunit ribosomal RNA", at positions 338 to 795 of the family's 1533-position model. The record is from RNAcentral.
CCUACGGGUGGCUGCAGUGGGGAAUAUUGCACAAUGGGGGAAACCCUGAUGCAGCGACGCCGCGUGAGCGAAGAAGUAUUUCGGUAUGUAAAGCUCUAUCAGCAGGGAAGAAAAUGACGGUACCUGAGUAAGAAGCUCCGGCUAAAUACGUGCCAGCAGCCGCGGUAAUACGUAUGGAGCAAGCGUUAUCCGGAUUUACUGGGCGUAAAGGGAGCGUAGGCGGCCUGCCAAGUCUGAUGUGAAAUACCGGGGCUCAACCCCGGGGCUGCAUUGGAAACUGGCAGGCUGGAGUGCCGGAGAGGCAGGCGGAAUUCGUAGUGUAGCGGUGAAAUGCGUAGAUAUUAGGAAGAACACCAGUGGCGAAGGCGACUUACUGGACUGUAACUGACGCUGAGGCAUGAGAGCAUGGGGAGCAAACAGGAUUAGAUACCCGAGUAGUC